Molecule: ribosomal RNA, 440 nt
Filed under: uncultured bacterium
Lineage: Bacteria
Description: partial 16S ribosomal RNA
Rfam family: Bacterial small subunit ribosomal RNA
Source: RNAcentral
CCUACGGGUGGCAGCAGUGGGGAAUAUUGCACAAUGGGGGAAACCCUGAUGCAGCAACGCCGCGUGAGUGAAGAAGUCUUCCGGUAUGUAAAGUUCUUCAAGCAGGGAAGAAGAUGACGGUACCUGUAUAAGAAGCACCGGCUAACUCCGUGCCAGCAGCCGCGGUAAUACGUAGGGGGCAAGCGUUAUCCGGAUUUACUGGGCGUAAAGGGAGCGCAGACGGCAGUGCAAGUCUGAUGUGAAAGCCCGGGGCCCAACCCCGGAACUGCACUGGAAACUGUGCGGCUAGAGUGCUGGAGGGGCAGACGGAAUUCCUGGUGUAGCGGUGAAAUGCGUAGAUAUUAGGAGGAACACCAGUGGCGAAGGCGGUCUGCUGGACAGUAACUGACGUUGAGGCUCGAAAGCGUGGGGAGCAAACGGGAUUAGAUACCCCGGUAGUC